CGCGCCAUUGCACUCCAGCCUGGGCAACAAGAGCGAAAGUCUGUCUCAAAAAAAAAAAAAAAAGUUAAGUAUCGGUUCCUCAUGCACCAACCUCAUUUCAAGUGCCCAGUACCUACGUAUCACUAGUCUCAGAUACUAAAGUUAUAAAAUGUUACCAUCAUGCAGAAGUUCUAUUAGACAGCACUAUUCUGGAGUCUUCUAAUUGCCUCACAAACCAUGGUCUCAUCUCCCUACAAGACACAGGGCCUCUUAAGAAUGGGGAUUUGCUGCUGUCUUUCUCCACCUUCCUUCAGAGGCAGGCCACACAAAGGCCUGGGCGGCCUGAGAUGCAUAACAAAUUCACUCAAUAAGCCCAUGGGUUCCAUACACAAACUAAAAUUUGCAAAGCAGCUCUGUGUAACCACAGACAUUCACAGUAACUGUCAUGCUGCAAGGAGUGGUUCUCUUUCUUCCUCUGUGGGGGCCUCAAAGUAACCCUCCAGUUCAACCCCAUGACUCCCAUCCCAGCCACUCCCAGCUGGCUCCCCGAAGACAAGCUGCCAUCAAUCCCUUCCUCACCCCGCCAGCCCAUUUUACGUAGGGGCAAACCAAGGCCCACCACAGACUUCAGCCUGACCCUAUUUUGUGUUGGAGGCUACUGUGGAAAAAACCAGAACCCUGGGAGCAGGAGGAAGUGUGGGGGUGAGGCUUUCACCUUAUAAGCUGGGUGCAGGGGGCCCACACACAACUUAACCUUUCAGUGACCCAGGACAGGACCUCUAAAAGAAUCAGGCCUGGGAGACCUUGCCCUGCCCCCAGAAGCACCAAGAGGCACAGGAAUCUGCUGCCAGCCCAAGGGUCAGAGCCCGACAGCACACACAGCAUGAGUGGGCAGGCGCAGGGGCACCUGGCACAAAGCUGCGCACGCACAUGGGAAUACCUUGCCACCUGAGCCCCGAGCCCGCCUCAGGCUUACUGCAUGGCUGCUUCUCCACGACCAAACCCACCAGGAGCUGGUUCAGGGAGGAUUCAGGGGUUGGAGUGAGAGCAGGAAGAGGAAGGAGGCUGGCCAGGGGGUGCCAGCCAGGGAGGAGUCCGGGGGGCUGCACUGGUCUGGCCUGCUCUCCCUCAGGGCCAACUCCUGCUACAGACAGCGCCUGGGAGAACAGUGGGAGCUGCUGCCGCUUCAAGCCUGGGAAACUGGAAGGAAGAUGGGAAAUACCUGCCUGCCGUCCCCUUCACGACCCCACCCCAGUUCACCGAAUGAGCAAAUCAGCAGUGCAUGGCCUGGACUGCGUACACUGGAGCAUGCAGGAGCAGAGCAGAGUGGAACGUGGCCUGGGCUAGAAGCUCUGGAGGCCCCAGGCCACCAGGGAGACUGGGACUAGGUGGGGCCCAGGGAGGACCUUCACACCCCCAGCCCUGCCUGUCGGGCCUCAGGCCUUUGGUGAUCUGCCCGGGGCCUAUGAGGACAAAAGCAUGAAGAAUCAGGAGCCGCCAUUCCCACCCUCCACCACCUGGGCCCCCACUCCUCAGCUUUGCCGCUGCUUCCUCUGACUCCCCUCCCGGCCUGGAGCAGCGAACCCUGAGCCCCUACAUUCCUGCCCCAGGAAAGCCUCAUGUCCCUCUGGAGACUGACUGGCCAGGCCAGCUGCCAUUUUUGAUGCCAGACUAGACUGGGCAGACGGGUGAGGCUUGGGGACUCUGGGCUGUAUAAAAGUUAAUAAAUAAUAAUAAUAAAACCCUCAAGUCAACCUUGAAGAGAAACAAGGUCAGGAGGAAACAGGGCCCCAGGGACUGGGACAGAGGCAGUCCCUAGGUUUUCAGACAAGACCAUGGCUAGCUCCAGAAGCCCCUGUGGUGGUGGGA
This 1848-nucleotide long non-coding RNA is filed under the name Homo sapiens (human). RNAcentral's name for it is "HSALNT0359756". The record is from RNAcentral. Lineage: Eukaryota; Metazoa; Chordata; Mammalia; Primates; Hominidae.